UGGUUGGAUCGAUCUGCAAACAUGAUAUGUAAUCGUUUUUGCGACCGAAUCCAGGCCACG
RNAcentral lists this microRNA precursor (60 nucleotides) under Strongyloides ratti. RNAcentral's name for it is "microRNA str-mir-7880b precursor (str-mir-7880b-2)". Lineage: Eukaryota; Metazoa; Nematoda; Chromadorea; Rhabditida; Strongyloididae. The record is from miRBase by way of RNAcentral.